GACGAACGCUGGCGGCGUGCUUAACACAUGCAAGUCGAACGGGAUCAUUCAGAUAGCUUGCUAACUGGAUGUGAGAGUGGCGAACGGGUGAGUAACGCGUAGGUAACCAACCUUGUACUGGGGGAUAGCCCCGUGAAAACGGGAUUAAUACCGCAUAAGACCACACUACCGCAUGGUAGAGGGGUAAAAACUUUGGUGGUACAAGACGGACCUGCGUCUUAUUAGCUAGUUGGUGAGGUAAUGGCUCACCAAGGCGACGAUGAGUAGCCGACCUGAGAGGGUGAUCGGCCACACUGGGACUGAGACACGGCCCAGACUCCUACGGGAGGCAGCAGUGGGGAAUAUUGCGCAAUGGGGGAAACCCUGACGCAGCAACGCCGCGUGAGUGAUGAAGGUUUUCGGAUCGUAAAACUCUGUCUUUGGGGGAAGAUAAUGACGGUACCCAAGGAGGAAGCCCCCGGCUAACUACGUGCCAGCAGCCGCGGUAAU
Molecule: ribosomal RNA, 489 nt
Filed under: uncultured bacterium
Lineage: Bacteria
Description: bacterial SSU rRNA
Rfam family: Bacterial small subunit ribosomal RNA
Source: RNAcentral